UGCUCGGGCAGCGACGGCAUCUCCAACUUGCCUCUUCAAUCAUCGGCACGAGCGCUCUCUUUGCCUCGGCCGAUGUCGGUUUCCCGUGUUGGAUACCCGAUGCGAAGGCAUUCCAUUCGGCUAAGUUGUCCCGAUUCUAUCCCUCAUCCUUGUGCCUUUCGGCGCUUGCGGUGCGGAUGGACCCCGGAGCACCCGCCGUGUCGUCCCGAUCCGUGCGCUCCCGAAUGGGUUCCCGGUUCGACGAUCCACGGCGGCGUGCUCGAUCUCUCGGAUGCGGAACACUCGUGGGUAUGAGGCAAAAGUCCUCCUAUUGUCCCGAAAAAUGGCUUCUUGCGAACGACGGUCGUUCCGGUUUUGAACCCUCGCCCCCGCGGCGUCGAUCAUGCCGGGACGACGUCGGUGAGGAAUGCUACCUGGUUGAUCCU
Molecule: unclassified non-coding RNA, 425 nt
Filed under: Scutellaria tenax
Lineage: Eukaryota; Viridiplantae; Streptophyta; Magnoliopsida; Lamiales; Lamiaceae
Description: partial contains external transcribed spacer and 18S ribosomal RNA
Source: RNAcentral